Molecule: long non-coding RNA, 655 nt
Organism: Arabidopsis thaliana (thale cress)
Lineage: Eukaryota; Viridiplantae; Streptophyta; Magnoliopsida; Brassicales; Brassicaceae
Product: other RNA
Exons: 1
Source: RefSeq
UGUCUUCUUUAUCCAACCAAAUGGCUGUGAUGAUAAAGAAUGUGUCAGAUACAAUACAUUAUGAGUUUGAAAAGAAGCUUAGUAAAAUAGGGUCACUAGCAGCUUAAGGCGCCUAAUCUCUUCAUAACACCAAACCAAGAGCAAAUUGUGUCUGUAAGUGAUGAAACUAAUUCAUGAAGAAACAAGCUCAUGUAUCAGUCUGAAAUAAGUGCAACUCUAUCCUCCUUAAGAUGUUAAUGGCGUGAAGCAAGGAUCAAUAGAAGCUAGGCAUUUUCUGUAGAAGACUAAAUCAGAAUGUAAGUGAAACCAAUAGUACAAGGAAAACGAAAUGAAGAAGAUUUGAUCACCAAUUCAAGAAUAGACUAGCACCAAAACGAAUCAAGCCUUUCAUGAAACGUAAUUAUAUGCAACGAUGCUCAUAAAAGUAACCACCUUUAUAGAUAAUCUAAUGAGAUCAAAGCAAGUAAAUUUGAUAAAUGGUGAUCAAUUAUGAAAUUUUCAUCUUUCAACCAGAUAAAGCCAACAAUUUCACCAGAAACAUAACAUUAGCUAGAGAUAGAGAUCCCAGAUCAGGACCAUAAUCCGUGAAAACCAAUCUAUGGCCGGAAAACAAGAGAUCGAGAUAGCUUACUUGGACGACCCAGAUGGCACCGGC